RNAcentral lists this ribosomal RNA (253 nucleotides) under uncultured bacterium. RNAcentral's name for it is "partial 16S ribosomal RNA". It matches the Rfam family "Bacterial small subunit ribosomal RNA", at positions 524 to 776 of the family's 1533-position model. The record is from RNAcentral.
UACAGAGGGUGCAAGCGUUAAUCGGAUUUACUGGGCGUAAAGCGUGCGUAGGUGGUUUGUUAAGUCUGUUGUGAAAGCCCCGGGCUCAACCUGGGAAUGGCAAUGGAUACUGGCAAGCUAGAGUGCGGUAGAGGGUAGUGGAAUUCCCGGUGUAGCGGUGAAAUGCGUAGAGAUCGGGAGGAACACCAGUGGCGAAGGCGGCUACCUGGACCAGCACUGACACUGAGGCACGAAAGCGUGGGGAGCAAACAGG